GGCCGGGUGGCAGAGUGGUUAUGCAGCGGAUUGCAAAUCCGUGUACGUCGGUUCGAUUCCGGUCUCGGCCUCCA
RNAcentral lists this transfer RNA (74 nucleotides) under Thermomonas sp. RNAcentral describes it as "tRNA-Cys". It matches the Rfam family "tRNA". From Rfam's summary of the family: Transfer RNA (tRNA) molecules are approximately 80 nucleotides in length. Their secondary structure includes four short double-helical elements and three loops (D, anti-codon, and T loops). Further hydrogen bonds mediate the characteristic L-shaped molecular structure. tRNAs have two regions of fundamental functional importance: the anti-codon, which is responsible for specific mRNA codon recognition, and the 3' end, to which the tRNAs corresponding amino acid is attached (by aminoacyl-tRNA synthetases). tRNAs cope with the degeneracy of the genetic code in two manners: having more than one tRNA (with a specific anti-codon) for a particular amino acid; and 'wobble' base-pairing, i.e. permitting non-standard base-pairing at the 3rd anti-codon position. The record is from RNAcentral. Lineage: Bacteria; Pseudomonadati; Pseudomonadota; Gammaproteobacteria; Lysobacterales; Lysobacteraceae.